Molecule: long non-coding RNA, 1047 nt
Filed under: Gallus gallus (chicken)
Lineage: Eukaryota; Metazoa; Chordata; Aves; Galliformes; Phasianidae
Description: lncRNA (ENSGALG00010028984.1)
Source: RNAcentral
CGUAAAACUGGGGAGUGCUGCCGGGGCCCCGCAGCUGUCACCUCGGACAGCCGCCCCACGGCCGUGUGCCGCGUCGGUCUGGGGAUGGAACGGCAGCGAUCGGCCAAGAGCUGAGCUCUGCUGACAUGGAGCAGCGGGCCUUGGGUGGGAUCACUGCGAGCCCGGGGCCUGAGCUGCCCCGCGCGGUGUUCCCGUGGCUUUUCCCUAUAGUGAGGGAAGGCUGAGCCCCACCGCUGUCCGCGUCCAUUCCCCGCCCAUCCCAUCCCGGUCUCCAUCACCCAUCUUUAUCCACAUCGCUGUGCACCCCAUCUCUAUCCCUAUUCCAUUCCCAUCUCAAACAAAUCCUCAUUCCCAGUCUCAUCCCAUCUCUGUUCCUGUGCCAUCCACCUCCCAAUCCCCAUCACGUCCCCACAUCAUCCCCUACUCAGUCCGUAUCCCACUUCCAUUUCCAUCCCCAUCUCAUCCCCGACUUCAUCCCAUUCCCACGCCCAUCCCAGCCUCCAUCUCACCUCCAUCUCCAUCCCAUCCUCAUCCUCAUCCCCACCCCGUUCAGUUUCCCCAAACCAGAGCUCUCUCUUUCCAACACGACUGUACCGAAGUGCAUCGUUCUAACGGAGACUGUCAUGUGAUGGCGGUGCAGCACGGCGGCUGCGGGCACUGCGCUCCCGCUGGGGCACCGGGUUGGAGUGCCCUGGGAUGUUCCCCGGGACAUCCCCCGUAACAGUGGGACACGGCACGCAGCGCACUUUGCUCACGCUUACAGACCGUCCUCACCCCACGGGGUCCUUCCCCAGCACGAGCAGGAGCAGUUUGCUGCGGGACCCCGCUCGGCCUGUCUGCUCCUGAACGACCCGGGGCACCACUUCGGGGCAGGAGGGCCGAACCCUGCGGGGUGUCAGCAGCGAGUGGGAGAGUGAGAGCUGCCCGCACCCCCUGGCUGAGGCCGGACCAGGGCAGUAGGGACCCAGCCAUGCAAAUGUCCCUCGCUGGCAGUUUUGUAAACAGAGCCGCUCCGAGGACGGGACGGGACGGGACGGACGGGCGAAC